Molecule: small nuclear RNA, 102 nt
Organism: Gorilla gorilla gorilla (western lowland gorilla)
Lineage: Eukaryota; Metazoa; Chordata; Mammalia; Primates; Hominidae
Source: Ensembl
AUGCUUGCUCAGCAGCACAGAUACCAAAACUGGACCUAUACAGAGAUGAGCAUGGCCCCUUUGCUAGAUGACGUGCAAAUCUGUGAAGCAUUCCAUGAAAAA